CGGCAGUGGCUGGAGUUUUUCGAUGGCGGCACCGGCAGGCCGUUUCCUUGCUGAAGCUUGCUUGCUUUGUACUGUAUUGCGCAGCAGCCAGACAUGCCCAUCCGGCCCGAAAGGAAUCGGCAAGCUGCAGAUUGAUCAAGCUAAUACACAACAACAUUGAUUGUGCUAGGCGUGAUGGAAACGUGAUGCUCGCAGACACUUGUCAAGAUGUGGAAGGAUGGGGACACAAUGGUGAGGAACUUGGGUAUAUGAUUGAUAGACAUGAUCAGAAUAUGCAUGCCACAUUAGGUUGACAUGUAGUGGAGAGGAGCCAAGGUAGGGGUAGUGAAGGGAGGCAUUGGAAGAACAAAGAAGAAGGUUUUUGGCAGGAAAUAAGGCUAAAAAUUCAGUUGGACACAUAGCUUUAGCAAAAAUGAGCUCACCAUUUUCGAGUGUUUACUACAUCCUGGUCAUCUACAAGUACUACAAGACAUCAUAUGUUCGUUGCAUUCACCUUAUUGAAGAUAAUAAACACUUAUUGAGGAACAUGCUAAGGAUGGAGGAACGGACGUCAAGUUCCAGUAUGCAGCUUGUUUCAUUGCUCAGGAUAAUUCAGAAUCUAAAAUUUGAAGGUGAGGUAGAGGAAUAUUGCCAUACCUGAGGGCGUCGCUAUCCGGUUUAUUUUUGCUGUUCGGAUCGCCGCAAGGUGAGUCGAAUCAAUCUCGUACGCCUUAGGCUAUGCCCCAACUUUCUUGAUAUUCGUCGACAUCUUCAUAGUAGGAUCAGAUUUGCUGAUUGUUUUUCAGACUGCAAAAAUCAUUGUAUUUCAUAAAUACUCCAUGUGACUACCCAUUUUUUGUUGGAUAAAAAAUAGACAGUUGGUUUUUGGGUUAUU
Molecule: long non-coding RNA, 874 nt
Organism: Triticum aestivum (bread wheat)
Lineage: Eukaryota; Viridiplantae; Streptophyta; Magnoliopsida; Poales; Poaceae
Exons: 4
Source: RefSeq, a predicted model, not a curated record